This 9819-nucleotide long non-coding RNA is filed under the name Homo sapiens (human). RNAcentral describes it as "long non-coding RNA NONHSAT170905.1". Lineage: Eukaryota; Metazoa; Chordata; Mammalia; Primates; Hominidae. The record is from RNAcentral.
CUCAUGCAUAUUGUCAGACACGUCAGAGUGUGGUAAACUUUAUUUCAUUGCAUUAUAAAGUUCAGGUCAUGGUUUCUCAGUCUUCGUCAUUUACACUUUACAUGGCACAAGACUUUUAAAAUAUUAGGUUGUAAAUUGUAAUUCUCACAAUUCCUUUUUUGGGAGGAAGGAAGGUGUGGAUGGGACUAAAAUAUACUUUAUUCAUUAUUAAAAAUGUUGCUAUAGUACACAAAAUGGGAAAAAUACAGAAAAGAAAGAAAAAGGCCAGGUACAGUGGCUCAUGCCUGUAAUCCCAGCACUUUGGGAGGCCGAGGCAGGUGGAUCACUUGAGGUCAGGAGUUCAAGACCAGCCUGGCCAACAUGGCAAAAUCCCAUCUCUACUAAAAAUAGAAAAAUUAGAUGGGCGUGGUGGCAUGCGCCUGGAAUCCCAGCUACUAGGGAGGUUGAGGUGUGCUUGAGCCCAGGAGGCAGAGGUUGCAGCGAGCCAAGAUUGCACUACUGCACUCCAGCCUGGGCGACAGCAAGACACUGUCAAAAAAAAAAAAAAAGGAAAGAAAGAAAGAGAAAGGAAGGAAGGAAGGAAGGAAGAGAAAAGAAAAGGAAAUAACGAAAGAUUUCCCAGAACUCCACCAUUCAACUGCUGUUGGUAUUUCUUUUUACAACUUUUUUUAAAGACGGGGUCUUGCUCUGUUGGCCAGGCUGGGGUGCAGUGGCACAAUCACAGCUCACUGCAGCCUUAAACUCCUAAGCUGAAGUGAUCCUCCUCGCCUCAGCUUCCUGAGUAGUUGGGAUUACGGACACACUACCAUGUCCGGCUUACUGUUGGUAUUUAUUAGUGGAUUUUAGAAACAUUUUAAAAUGCACUUUUUACAAAGUUGUGAUAAUAACAUUUACUAUUUUAAAAAUAGGUUUCCUCAGUGCUUAAAAAUGAUAUUCAUUCAUUCAACAUUUCCUCAAUGCUUACUAUGUGCCUAGCACUGGGGUACAAUGAUGAAUGAGAUAAACUGGACUUGGUGGCUCACACCUGUAAUCCCAGCACUUUGGGAGGCUAAGGCAGGAGGAUCACUUGAGGCUAGGAGUUCAAGGCCAGCCUGGGCAACAUGGAGAGACCACAUCUCUAAAAAAUAAUCUUAAUAAAAAUAAAAAAUAAAAACAAAGAAAAAUGAGACAGGGUCCUUUCCAGGGUGAUGUGCCUUCUCUUGUCACCACAAUUGCAGCUUGUUUACGCAUUUGCUAAAUGGUUGCUAGGGCUUGGAUAUUUGUCCCCUCCAAAACUUAUGUUGAAGUUCAACCCCCAAUGUAGCAAUAUUCAGAGUUGGGGCCUUUAAGAGGUGAUUGGGUCAUGAGAGCUCUGCCCUCAUAAAUGGAUAAAUCCAUUCAUGGAUUCAUGGGUUGAUGGACUAAUGGGUUGCUACAGGAAUGGGACUAGCAGCUUCAUAAGAUGAGGAUGAGAGAACUGAGCUAACACACUCAGUCCCCUCACCUUGUGGUGCUCUGCACCACCUGGGGACUCUUCAGAGAGUUCCCACCAGCAAAAAGGCCCUCACCAGAUGUGGACUUUACAGCCUCCAGAACUGUAAGAAAUAAAUUUCUUUAUAAAUUACCCAAUCUGUGGUAUAUGUUACAGCAACAGAAAAUGACCUAAGACAAUGGUGCUACUGAGUAGGGGGAAGCCCUCAAAAAAAAGGGGAACUCUGGAUGGGUGUGGUGGCUCACAUUUGUAAUACUAGCACUUUGGGAGGCCAAGGCGGGAGGAUGGCUUGAGCCCAGGAGAUAGUGACCUCCUGGGCAACAUAGUGAGACCCCACCUAUACCAAAAUAGAAAAAAAAAUAGCCUGGCAUGGUGGUGCAGGCCUGUAGUCCCAUCUAUUGGGGAGGCUGAAAUGGGAGAAUCGCUUGAGCCCAGGAGUUCAAGGUUACAAUGAGCUAUGAUAAUCCCCCUGCAGAUUAAAGGCAGAGUAGGGAAGCAUGCCUGGUGAGGACAAGGAACAGCAGGGAGACUAGUGUGGCCAGAGAAACACAGGUGCUCAAACAGUGCUUGCUGAGUGAUUGAAUUACCCCAGCAUGUGGUGCAAACACUUUAGUUUGGUCCCCAGAGUGCCACAGUAGCUCUCAAAUUGUGUCUCCCACUGACUCCUUUCUCCCAGGUUUUUAAAAAAUAUCAUCUGUGCACAUGUUAUCGUCCCGAAAUUGCUGAUGGAUUUUUCAAGAUCUCAUUCUUCCCGCUGUCCUCCUUUAACUCUGCUUUCCAUUUAACUGGGUGUCUGCCCAUGACUGAGUUUUCCUCUUCCCAAGUCACUUGCAAUGGGUCUCUGCACCCUUCUUGGUGUGAUUUCUCCAGUGCCGACAACUGAACCUGGUACAGAGUAAGUGUUCCGUUAAAGAGCUCUUGACUGAGUGAAUGAAUUUCCCCUGAGAGUUUCAUCAAUCCUUUCUACAUCCCCAUUAUUUGAGCCUUUCCAUUGGUCAUACCCAUGCCAGCUUUACUUACUUCUGCUUUUUUUUUUUUUUUAACUCAUGUGAGUUACCAUCAUCAGUUUUUCACUCUGUCUGUUCCUUUUCCUGGAUGGGUGCUGGGUGCCACCUCUCAGUGGCAUUCUCAUUGCACACCAGCGUCCUUUGAUCCUAAAGAGGCUACAGAUCUUUUAGGGAAGGAGGAAGAGAAUGCCUGCCUACCUGCCUAGCACUCAAAAGAGCAGAUCCUUCAAGUCAAAACUCUCACACCUCACCUUGGACCUUUCCAACUCCACCCCAGGAGUCUAUCAGAGAGGAAAUCUAAACACUGUUUGCACCAGUCCUCCCUCUGCCCACCCCUCCCCACACCACAGGACGAGAAGCUACUCUCAGGCAAGGAGUAAGUUGUGGCUUCAAUGUGAGAUUGAGCAAGUAGGACUCACACUUUCUAAUCAAAUCCAGAUUUGUCCUUUUCAGCCUUGUUGUGACACCUGCAUCAUAUCACAGCAAAAUUUCUUUACGGGACUGUCAUAGAGAAACAGGACAAAAACCCUGGACUGGGGUGAGAUUUGGGUUUUCAUCUUGGCUUGGGCUCUUUACGUCUCAGUUUCCUCAUCUGUAAAAGGGUGGAUUGGACUAGAUGGUCUCCAAGAGUCAUUCACGUGCCAAGAGCCUAGCCCAGGAUCUUGUCUCCAAGGGAAAGGCUGCCACACAGGACUCAAAUCGUCCACAGCAACUGCUCCGUCCCCGGCAUCAAUCCCCCCACCCCUCCCCCAAUCCCACACCACCACCCCAUCACAGGAACCUAGACGGUGGACAGGCCAGUGGGGAUGGUAUGCAGAAGUACAUCGACUUAUUCAAGGGAGCUUGGCCCUGAGAAAAGCUGGUGGUCUGCCAACAUUCUCAGAGGCUGAAAUAUAUCAAAACACCCAUUUAAGAAUGUACGCUGAGAACCACAGUGGCCAGAGAGAGGGAGGAUACUGCUCUGCUCCCACCCACCCUUCCCUCCCCACUAUACCUCACCCUCCAUGGCCCCUGUCCAGGACUGCUGCUCCUGGAAUCCAAGGAAAAGGAUUCAAUGUGUGUCUCAAUGACAGGAGGGGCUCCCUGGCUUUCUAGAGUCCUGCCCUCCUGGCCUCUGUUCCCCUCAACCUCAGUGCCAGAGACACAAUGGCCAAGUUCCUUUGAAAAUUCCCUUUCUCCAUGCUCCAGAUUGCCUUUCCUGUCCUCCAGUUAUUCAGGCUCACAUUAAAAAGUAUGAAGAUGGCUUUGGGGAGGGACUCUGGUAGGUGUUAAUCUUUAGUGUAAGGAGAUUAAAGGAGCUGGUUUCCUAGGCAGUGUCUGAUUUCUUUAGUUGGGAAGAGAGAGGCCCCGCCUUUUAUAAGGGCCUGGGGCUGCCAGCGUUGUGCCCUUGAUUUCUUUAGAAUCCAUUCAGACUUAACCAUCCUUUCUGUAGCCAGGCCCAGACUGCAUCGAGGUCAUCUUUGUCUUUCAACAUGAAUAUUCUAGUAACUUUCUCCCCAGUACCCACUCCAGAGGAUCCAGGGCAAAAGUAAAUCUCCGAAAGUGUUUGUAGGAUGAAGCUGGUGACUCAUGCCUAGUUUAUGAGUGGUAAGUGUUACAUUACAUGUUCUGCACAUUAUCUCAUUUAUCCCUCACCACUCUAUGGGGUAGGCACUAUUUUAACCCCCGUUUUAUAGGUUUUGGACCUAAGAGGUUUGGAGCGGGUAAGUCACUUGUCCAAGGUCACACAUUAGGAGGUGUGCUAUCCAUUGCUAAAGCCAAGGCUCGCUCUGUCCAUCGAGCCACUGUACCAAGUGCCAAACAUUUAUUAGGAACCUAUUCCAGGUGCAAAACCCUGGGUGUGGCCAGCAGAUGAUCAAUAUGCACAUGAAUGAAGAAUGGGUAGCUCUUCAAUUCCAGGAGCACAAUUUCUAACCUGGGAGGUGGUAUGAACAUGAAGAACUCUACUCCAAAGCAGCCUGAAAUAAGUGCUAUCUCAGAGGUAAAAGGGGAGUCCCAUAGGAACGUGGCUGAGGAGGGAGAUCAAUACACACUCAGAGAGAGACAGAGAGAGAGAAACAGAGAGAGAGAGAAGCAGAGAGAGAGCGACAGAGAGAAAGAAGGGAGGAAGAGGGUAGGGAAGGAGGGAAGGAAAGGAGAGAGAACAUGAAUGAGAUAAGUGCUGGGAAGAAGUUUUCAAGAAAUGGGCUUUGUGCUAGGCCCUGGUAGAUGGGUCAACUUCCCCAGGCUGGAGAGAAACAGGCAGAGGAAACAGCUCGAGCCAGGAGCCAGGGUGACAGCAUUCAGGAUCUGCUCCACAGUCAGGCCUGGGUUGGGCUAUGGAGAGAGGCAAGCCUCGCAGGUCAGUCAGGAUCAAAUGCAGGAGAGUCCAGAUGCCAGGGAAAGGUCUGGGCUUGCUUCUGGGGGCAGUAAGGAGCUGCUGAAAGCUGCUUAUAGAUAAAGCAUGACAGGCAGGAAGAGAUGAUGUGAGCUUGCAGAGAAAACUGGUGAUGGGAGGCAGAGAUGAGGUCUUCACAUGGUUCAUCUCUUCUUUGGCCAAGGUCCACUGCCAGGCUGGACACUUCAGGGGGCAGGAAGAGGAGGGAUGGUCCCAGCGUUGGGAGUGCUCUGAGCAUAGGCCGAGCCUAAGGCCCCUCCAAGGCCUGUGGAGGGGCUCAGAAGGGCAAGUGGCCUAAUUCUGAGGCGCAAGGAAAGACCUAAAGGAAACACUGAGGGUCUUAGAGUAGGAGGGGUAGUGAGCACGCACAGGGGAAAUUGGAAGGAAAUGAACCAUUCUGGGACAUGGGGAGGAAGAACCUUCAAUUCAGCCAAAGGAAAAUAAGUGUCCUUACCCCUUGCCCAUUCAGGCUCAUUACUUACUUUGAAACUCUUUUAAAGAAAUGCAGAAAAAAACCUUUUUUUCCAAGUGCAGUAAAAACUCAAUGAACUUGAGAAACCAACUGCCUGGAACAUUCAAGUCACUGGGAUUUUUUUUUUUUUUUUUUUUUUUUUGAGACGACAUCUUGCUGUUGCCCAGGCUGGAGUGCCUCAAAAUCCUGGGCUCCAGAGAUUCUCGUGCUUCAGCCUCCCAAGUAACUGGGACUACAUACAUGCAUCACCACGCCCAGCUAAUUUUUAAAAAUUUUUUGUAGAGACAGGAACUCACUAUGUUGCCCAGGCUCAUCUCAAAUUCUUGGGCUCAAGUAAUCCUCCUGCCCUGACCUCCCAAAAUGCUGGGGUUACAGACGUAAGCCACAGCGCCUGGCCCUGCGAUUGUUUUUUGAUUCAAUCUUCGAAGUAGAAUAGGUAAAUGACCACAGACAAGUUAGUAUCAGGAUGUUAAUCACAGAAAGACCUACUAUGGGUGACCACAGAGUCAGCAACAUAAGCAGAAGGUGACUCAACCCAGGACCCAUUUGAGGGGGAUGGAGGAGGCAACCCUGACUAAAAGUUUGCUCCACCCUUUUAAUGUUUUUGUAGGCCCUAAGUCCUGAAGACCUUAUGGAAUCCUCCUCUAAUAUAUAAUUAAACAUUUUAAAAUAAAAAUAGGCUGGUGCAGUGGCUCACACCUGUAAUCCCAGCACUUUGGGAAGCCAGGGCAGGGGGAUCACUUGAGUCCAGGAGUUUGUGACCAUCCUGGGUAAAAUAGCAAAAAAAAGUAUUUUUGUUUAAAAAACUGGGCAGGUGUAGUAGCAUACAUCUGUAGUCCCAGCUACUCGGGAGGUUGAGGCAGGAGUACUGCUUGAGCCCAGGAGUUGAAGGUUACAGCGAGCUAUGAUUGUGCUAUGCUACAAUUAAAUCACAUCCUCUGAUUGCAAAAUUCUUAACUUCAAUAGAGUUCUUUCUCUUUCUCUCUCUCUCACCUGCUUUGCUAAUUCCCUAACCAGCACUGCCCUCACUAGCCUGUGACCAUAUCCAACAGCCCAUUAUGAGAAAGACAUUUCUUUGGAUGUUGAAAAUGUCUGCAUUUCUAAGAAUUCCUGAUUGAAAGGAAGAGGAUGCUAACAGUUCAAGGCAGCAGAGUAGAGGUAGGAAGAGCUGGGCUUGGGAGGUAAACAGCCUGCCUAAAGAACUAAAGAACUAAAGCAAGUUCUUCAGUCUCUCUAUGGCUCAGUUUCCUCAUAUGUAAAAUGGGGAGGAAUAAAAGAAUAAUAUCCCUCUUGCAGUGUUGUCCUGAGGAUGAGUCCACACACAGCCAGAAAGCAUUCAGAAGAGUGCCUGGCACAUAGUGAAUCUCCUAAGUGUUGCUGUUAUCACUUUCACCUACAUCACAAUGCAGCGGAUGCUCAUUCUCCCCAACAUAGUUAAGUAGUAUGAGGCUCUGAAAAGCUAAGUAACUUGUUUUCAGACACACAGCUAGGAAGUAGUAGGAUUAGCUGGAGUGAAAACUCAAGUUAGUUUGACUCUAAAGACCCACUUUCUCCCUCCCAUUAUCCUGCAAAUUUCCCUGAUUGGGGAAUAACAUUAGGCUUUAAAUUUUUAAAAAUAUUACUUACCUUGUGAUAACCAAUGGUACAAAAUUCAAAAAGAAUAAUAUGGUGUAUAGUGAAAAAGUAAUUUUCCCCCUCUCUCUCUUCUCCCAGCCUCCCCACCCCCAGGCCAACAGCUGUUCCCAGUUCCUUGCAGAGCCAGCUUUAGAGUAAGCUUUUCACUGCUAAUGCACAUUUAUUUUCCAGAUUAAUGUAAUUCCCUGAGUGCCUCAUCUGUACCAGGCACUCUAUCCUGGUGCUACCGCUGCCUUCAGAGGGCUCCUGGGCGUGAGUCUGGAGGUUACUGAUGGAGGGAACUACUGUAUUGACUGCUGCAUUUGGUGCUUUUCCCUCUGCAGCCAUCUUUUCCCCUAGUAAAAUCAGCUUGCAUGGUUUGCACACUGGAAAAAGGCCAGUUCAGUGCCCCAAAACCUCUUCUGUAGCUUGCUUUGCACAGAACCUGGCAAGCAAGGAGCAUUAUGGUGUCAGGAGCUGACCAGAGGACUCUGUGAUGCUGGAUCUGGGAUCAGCUUCCUCCUCUACGAAACUCCCGACCCUUCCAGUUCUGUAAUUGCUCUGCCCCAGGGGCUCUUAGGAAGCAUAAUUUUCCAUGAAGCCUUGCUGCUUCUGGGCUCCAUUUCUAGCCAGAAGACCCCAGCUGUCCCACAGGUAACUGAGAAAGGCCAAAGAGCUCUAAGCCCCUUUCCUUACUUUCUCACCGUUGUUCUUUGGACAGUAGUAAUGUUAAAUAUAAAUAUAUUUUCCCCUGCUAUUGCUGCCAGAAAAUAUUUAUAAUGGGGUCAGCACAGAGCUUUCUCAAUGACUUAAUUAUAAAAUAUGCUUAUAACCUGUGGUGUGAUUACAUAAAUGCACAAAAGCAACUUCAGAACGUGGUGCUGAUCAUAACAUAGAAAUCCUUGCUCUCUCUUUCCAAACAUUAAGUAUCUGGCUGAGGGAUAUAAAGUAGGGAUGUCACCAUUUUGGAAGCAGCUAAUGUUAUUCCCAUUUCAGAGAUGGAGGCUCAGAAGAGGUCAGGCUGCUGGCCCAAGAUCAGUGGUAGAAGCAGGACUCCAGCCUGCUUGAUAUUUGACUCAAAGCCCCACUUUUUUCCAAUGCAUCAAGCACCUCAUGGAAAGGUCUGGGACUAUGAAAAUCUAUGUUCUGGAUGUUUGGGAAAUUCAUUUUCUGGUCAGCUGAAUAUUCUGGAUAGAAGAAUGGACACUGCAGAUUAGGGUUAGGAAGGAAGAGGGGAAGACAGAGGUGGAGGUUCCCUAAGCCUUGGAUUCUUCUUCCCAUCACAAUUCACUUCUUAAAGUCUAUGAGUCUCUCCUUCUCAGUGGGUUGUAAACUCCUCUGGGACAUAGUCUGGGAGAGAUCUGGUAACGAUAAGGUAUGCGUGAGGCUGAGAGUCACAUCUCCAUUCUAACCCCUGUCUAUUUGUUUCUAGCUAGGUAGGCACUGUGGUUUUUAUUUGCAUUUCUCAGAUGACUAAUACAGUAAAAUUUUUUUUUUUUUUAAGACAGAGCCUUGCUCUGUCGCCCAGGCUGGAGUGCAGCAGUACGAUCACAGCUCACUGCAGCCUCAACCUCCUGGGCUCAAGCGAUCCUCCCACCUCAGCCUCCCAAGUAGCUGGGACUACAGGCGUGCACCACCACACCUGACGAAUUUUUGUAUUUUUUGUAGAGAUGGGUUUUGCCAUGUUGCCCAGGCUAUGAACAUCUUAUAGAUUUUUAGUAAUUGUUAGUUUGUUUCUUUACUCUGUCUCCCCUUUCUUUCUGUAUCUUUGCCCCCUUAUCCCCUCUCCCAGGACCUGAAAAAAUGCAACCCUGAAAGAUGCCAGGGUCCUGGGAUCCAGAAUCCUCUACUCACAGUUCUCUGUGACAACCCUUUAGCAGCCCUUCAUCAUCUUACCUUGCCAGCCUCAUCUCUCAGCCUUCCAUCCCCUUGUACAUGACUCUCCAGCCAGACUAUCAGUUUCAAUCCUCUCUGAGCCCCUUUGAGCUUUUGUAGAUACUGUUCCGUGUGCCUGGGACACUAUGCACCCUUCCCCACUCCUUCCCCAUACUUUACCUUCCUAAUGCCUAGGUCUCCGUCAAGUCUCAGGUCAUAUGCUACUUCCUCCAGGAAGCCUUGCUUGAUGCUUCCCCCACCCCCACUCACCAGCCUGGGUUAGUUGCCCCUUGUUUGUGGCUAAGAAACAUCCUGUACUUCCCCUUCUAGCACUUAUCACACUGUGUUGCAAUUGCCUGUUUGCUAGUCUGUUUCUCUUAUACCUUGCCUCAUCCCUUUGAGGCUUAAUCUGUGCGUUGCACACUCUUCUAUCUCAAAGCCUAGUGCAACAGUGAUAUUUGUUGAAUGAAUGAUCUAGCUCAGAUCUCUCUAAAAUGACAAAAAUCUAACCUUCUGCGCCACCUCCCACAUCAAUCCUCCUCUUUGCCAAGGUCUCAAAAAAACAGACAUUUAUGGACGGUCUACUGUGUGCCAAGCACCAGGCCAGGCCCUUUACUGGUGAUGUCAUUUUCACAAUUAAAAGGCUUAAAGCUCCGAGUCUAGACAGCCCUUUGACUGAAACUCAGAGGUUCUGAUGUCUAAUCAGGCAACUAAUGAGCAAGGGGAAAUAAGUGAUACCACAACAUUUUCCAUCUUGGUAGUGGCAAAGAGAUGUCAACAGAAUGGAAGACCCGUGUAGCCCUGAGCUGCUGAAUCUUCAGUGCCUGGCACGUGGUAGGGCACAGACAAGAUGUGCCGAAUAAAUGAAUGUUCGAAGACAGAACACAAGAAGGGCAGACUACAAGCCUAGAAGACCUGUUUCAUUCUAGGCCUGGCCUAAUGUAUUUCUCCUAUUUCCUUCAUGUGUUAUUGAUAAACAAAACUGGACACUGAAGUAUUUUUG